GAUCCUGGCUCAGGACGAACGCUGGCGGCGUGCUUAACACAUGCAAGUCGAACGAUGAAAGAGAAUCCGAUCUCUUCGGAGUGAAGAAUCUCUGGAUUAGUGGCGGACGGGUGAGUAACGCGUGAGCAAUCUGCCUUACACAAAGGGAUAGCCUCGGGAAACCGGGAUUAAUACCAUAUGAUAUCUAUUAACCGCAUGGUUUAUAGAUUAAAGAAUUUCGGUGUAAGAUGAGCUCGCGU
This 239-nucleotide ribosomal RNA is filed under the name uncultured bacterium. RNAcentral describes it as "partial 16S ribosomal RNA". It matches the Rfam family "Bacterial small subunit ribosomal RNA", at positions 15 to 236 of the family's 1533-position model. The record is from RNAcentral.